AAGGGAAUAUUACGCAAUGGGCGAAAGCUUGACGGAGCAACGCCGCGUGAGUGAUGAAGGUCUUCGGAUCGUAAAACUCUGUUAUUAGGGAAGAACAAAUGUGUAAGUAACUAUGCACGUCUUGACGGUACCUAAUCAGAAAGCCACGGCUAACUACGUGCCAGCAGCCGCGGUAAUACGUAGGUGGCAAGCGUUAUCCGGAAUUAUUGGGCGUAAAGCGCGCGUAGGCGGUUUUUUAAGUCUGAUGUGAAAGCCCACGGCUCAACCGCGGAUGGUCAUUGGAAACUGGAAAACUUGAGUGCCGAAGAGGAAAGUGGAAUUCCAUGUGUAGCGGUGAAAUGCGCAGAGAUACGGAGAAACACCAGUGGCGAAGGCGACUUUCUGGUCUGUAACUGACGCUGAUGUGCGAAAGCGUGGGGAUCAAACAGG
This 429-nucleotide ribosomal RNA is filed under the name Actinomycetes bacterium. RNAcentral's name for it is "Actinobacteria bacterium partial 16S ribosomal RNA". It matches the Rfam family "Bacterial small subunit ribosomal RNA", at positions 355 to 776 of the family's 1533-position model. Lineage: Bacteria; Bacillati; Actinomycetota; Actinomycetes. The record is from RNAcentral.